RNAcentral lists this ribosomal RNA (437 nucleotides) under uncultured bacterium. RNAcentral's name for it is "bacterial SSU rRNA". It matches the Rfam family "Bacterial small subunit ribosomal RNA", at positions 28 to 511 of the family's 1533-position model. The record is from RNAcentral.
GAUGAACGCUGGCGGUCUGCUUAACACAUGCAAGUCGAACGAACUCUUCGGAGUGAGUGGCGGACGGGUGAGUAACGCGUGAGAAUCUGCCUGUGGGUCGGGGACAACCACUGGAAACGGUGGCUAAUACCGGAUGAGCCGAAAGGUAAAAGAUUUAUUGCCCACAGAUGAGCUCGCGUCUGAUUAGCUAGUUGGUAAGGUAAAAGCGUACCAAGGCGACGAUCAGUAGCUGGUCUGAGAGGAUGAGCAGCCACACUGGGACUGAGACACGGCCCAGACUCCUACGGGAGGCAGCAGUGGGGAAUUUUCCGCAAUGGGCGCAAGCCUGACGGAGCAACGCCGCGUGAGGGAGGAAGGUCUGUGGAUUGUAAACCUCUUUUCUCUGGGAAGAGAUCUGACGGUACCAGAGGAAUCAGCAUCGGCUAACUCCGUGCCAG